RNAcentral lists this ribosomal RNA (497 nucleotides) under uncultured bacterium. RNAcentral describes it as "partial 16S ribosomal RNA". It matches the Rfam family "Bacterial small subunit ribosomal RNA", at positions 28 to 507 of the family's 1533-position model. The record is from RNAcentral.
GAUGAACGCUGGCGGCGUGCCUAAUACAUGCAAGUCGAGCGAACAGACGAGGAGCUUGCUCCUCUGACGUUAGCGGCGGACGGGUGAGUAACACGUGGAUAACCUACCUAUAAGACUGGGAUAACUUCGGGAAACCGGAGCUAAUACCGGAUAAUAUAUUGAACCGCAUGGUUCAAUAGUGAAAGACGGUUUUGCUGUCACUUAUAGAUGGAUCCGCGCCGCAUUAGCUAGUUGGUAAGGUCACGGCUUACCAAGGCAACGAUGCGUAGCCGACCUGAGAGGGUGAUCGGCCACAUGGGAACUGAGACACGGUCCAGACUCCUACGGGAGGCAGCAGUAGGGAAUCUUCCGCAAUGGGCGAAAGCCUGACGGAGCAACGCCGCGUGAGUGAUGAAGGUCUUCGGAUCGUAAAACUCUGUUAUUAGGGAAGAACAAAUGUGUAAGUAACUAUGCACGUCUUGACGGUACCUAAUCAGAAAGCCACGGCUAACUACGUG